This 85-nucleotide transfer RNA is filed under the name Felis catus (domestic cat). It matches the Rfam family "tRNA". From Rfam's summary of the family: Transfer RNA (tRNA) molecules are approximately 80 nucleotides in length. Their secondary structure includes four short double-helical elements and three loops (D, anti-codon, and T loops). Lineage: Eukaryota; Metazoa; Chordata; Mammalia; Carnivora; Felidae. The record is from Rfam by way of RNAcentral.
ACCUGGGUGGUUCAGUCGGUUAAGCAUCUGACUUCGGCUCAGGUCAUGAUCUCGCGGUUCGUGGGUUUGAGUCCCACAUCAGGCU